RNAcentral lists this long non-coding RNA (216 nucleotides) under Elaeis guineensis (African oil palm). Its description in RNAcentral is "long non-coding RNA (EGUI_LNC060276)". Lineage: Eukaryota; Viridiplantae; Streptophyta; Magnoliopsida; Arecales; Arecaceae. The record is from RNAcentral.
AGGUCAGAUAUGUGGAUGUGUUGAUUUGAAUUUGAUUAGUCAGAUGUUAUAUCUACUAAUUUAGAAGAGACCCAAACUUAAAUCUUCUCACUAUAUGUUAAUGUUGCCCAGAUAUAGAGACUAAGAGGGGGAGUGAAUUGGAUCUUUUUAAAAUUUUUGUGAUUAGUGCACUCAAGUAAUAUGCUAUACUUGUUGAGUGGAGUGAAUUGAUUAGCU